Molecule: ribosomal RNA, 534 nt
Filed under: uncultured Alphaproteobacteria bacterium
Lineage: Bacteria; Pseudomonadati; Pseudomonadota; Alphaproteobacteria
Description: bacterial SSU rRNA
Rfam family: Bacterial small subunit ribosomal RNA
Source: RNAcentral
ACAGCCGGAUGCAGCCAGGCCGCGUGAGUGAUGAAGGCCUUAGGGUUGUAAAGAUCUUUCAGAUGGGAAGAUAAUGACGGUACCUUCAGAAGAAGGUGCGGCUAACUCCGUGCCAGCAGCCGCGGUGAUACGGAGGGAGCUAGCGUUGUUCGGAAUUACUGGGCGUAAAGCGUACGUAGCGGUACUAUUAAGUCAGAUGGUGAAAUCUCAGGGCUCAACCCUGGAACUGCCUUUGAUACUGGUAUGUACUAUGAGGUCGAGAGAGGUAGAGUGGAAUUCCCUGUGGUAAGGUGAAAUUGCUAAAAUUUCAGAGGAACACCCGUGGCGAAAGGCGCUCACUGGGUCCGUACUGACGCUGAAGUACCAAAGUGUGGGUAGCAAACAGGAUUAAAUACCCUGGGUAUCCCCCCCCGAAAACAUGAAUGCCUAUCUGUCGGGUGGACUUGUCCUUUGAGUCGCACGCCCCUAACUACAUUAAUUAUUCCCCCUGGGGAGUACGGUCGGUCGAUUAAAUACUCAAAGGAAUUGAUUGGA